RNAcentral lists this non-coding RNA (30 nucleotides) under Rattus norvegicus (Norway rat). The record is from RNAcentral. Lineage: Eukaryota; Metazoa; Chordata; Mammalia; Rodentia; Muridae.
UGGGACACUUUCUUCUUGCUUCCUUAUGGG